GGAAGUAAAAGUCGUAACAAGGUUUCCGUAGGUGAACCUGCGGAAGGAUCAUUACCGAGUGCGGGCCCUCGCGGCCCAACCUCCCACCCUUGUCUCUAUACACCUGUUGCUUUGGCGGGCCCACCGGGGCCACCUGGUCGCCGGGGGACGCACGUCCCCGGGCCCGCGCCCGCCGAAGCGCUCUGUGAACCCUGAUGAAGAUGGGCUGUCUGAGUACUAUGAAAAUUGUCAAAACUUUCAACAAUGGAUCUCUUGGUUCCGGCAUCGAUGAAGAACGCAGCGAAAUGCGAUAAGUAAUGUGAAUUGCAGAAUUCCGUGAAUCAUCGAAUCUUUGAACGCACAUUGCGCCCCCUGGCAUUCCGGGGGGCAUGCCUGUCCGAGCGUCAUUUCUGCCCUCAAGCACGGCUUGUGUGUUGGGUGUGGUCCCCCCGGGGACCUGCCCGAAAGGCAGCGGCGACGUCCGUCUGGUCCUCGAGCGUAUGGGGCUCUGUCACUCGCUCGGGAAGGACCUGCGGGGGUUGGUCACCACCAUGUUUUUACCACGGUUGACCUCGGAUCAGGUAGGAGUUACCCGCUGAACUUAAGCAUAUCAAUAAGCGGAGGA
RNAcentral lists this ribosomal RNA (604 nucleotides) under Talaromyces verruculosus. RNAcentral's name for it is "eukaryotic LSU rRNA". The stretch from base 233 to 386 matches the Rfam family "5.8S ribosomal RNA". The record is from RNAcentral. Lineage: Eukaryota; Fungi; Ascomycota; Eurotiomycetes; Eurotiales; Trichocomaceae.